GGCCCCGUAGCUCAGUUGGAUAGAGCAGCUCCCUACUAAGGAGAUGGUCGUGGGUUCGAGUCCCUCCGGGGAAA
This 74-nucleotide transfer RNA is filed under the name Pseudomonas brassicacearum. Its description in RNAcentral is "tRNA-Ser". It matches the Rfam family "tRNA". Rfam says of the family: Transfer RNA (tRNA) molecules are approximately 80 nucleotides in length. Lineage: Bacteria; Pseudomonadati; Pseudomonadota; Gammaproteobacteria; Pseudomonadales; Pseudomonadaceae. The record is from RNAcentral.